UCAUUGGUCAGCGACAGCUCUGUCCGUCCCCCGGACUCUAAUUGGUCAGAGGCAUCUCUGUCAGGUGGAGCAGAAAGACCUCAGCUGGAGCCUGGGACUGCAACACGGAGGGUGCUCAAGAAACAAAAGAAGGGAGUUAUUCUUCACUGAGUGAGGGCUACAACAGCACAGACUCUGAGAAUGAAUCCAACGCAUCCCAGAGGAGGAAGGAGUUAUCACCAGGCCAGGCUGUGUCCCCAGUGCAGGCUGUAUUGCGGCUGCUCGGAGGAGACGUCACCUCGCCAGGACCCGAGCUGAUUAUCUUCCCUUGGAUGCUUCAAAUGAUCGUCAGCUUUCUCAGAGAAGAGAAGGCUGUGAUUCAGAGGAUGAGGACGAGCCUGAUAGGAAUCAUCUCCAUUUUGUUCCUAAAAAGAGAACUCUUAGUCGUAGGCUGGCUGAACGCGUGGGUGAGUUGGUGCCUUUUCUCCCAGAGAGAGGCUGUGUCUUUCUUUUACUGAUGGAUGUCCGGAAGAAUGUGAGACUUGCCCAGUGAAGAGUGCAGUGCAAAGUUGUGCUCUUGGUCUUGACAAAAGAGCAUAAUGCUUGGUGGUCCUUGAGGUUUACAUGGGCUGUUCCUGCUCUCCACACACUCCCAUUACGACUGUUAUGGGAAAGGGGUAAAAACAAACCAACAAACAAAAAGCAACCAACCAGAGCCAGCCAGCCCUUUGGAAGUAAGCAGACUUACUGCAUGCCAAGCGUAUGUGGCUUUUCGGUUGCUCCUUAACUUCACAUCCAGUAUAACUGGUGUUCUUAGGUCCUCAUACUCCGUUUGUUUCUGGAAACCCCUCUUUUUGCUGUCCAGAAGAUUGCAGAAGUUUUUAGCAGCAGACCUUGGUCAUGGACUUGAUUACUUCAAGUCACUGUGUUUGGGUUAGAUUCUGCCCUACAGUCUCCUGCUGUUUUAGAACGCAGAAUGUCAUUUAAUUUCUAUGUUGAUGUGGUUGGAGUCUUUAAGUUAUAAUUACAGUCAAGCCAAGUUGUCAGAAUGAAACUUCUAUCUUCAUCUUCAUUGUUUGGCUGUAGCUUAUUUCUACUUUUCAAAUUAAAGACUGUACUGCUUGUUAGGUUUCAGCUGUUGAUAUUGAACUGCUAUAUAUUGUGGGAAGCCAUUAAUGUCUUCAGACUGAGAGGAGGGCUGCUUUACCCUAAAUUACAGAUUGCUUUGUACUGAUGGAUGUGAAUGGUGUAUGCAUUUUACACCAUAAGUACACAGCUUUUUGUAUAUACGCUUUCCCUUUUGUGUUGUACAGAAAUUGCCCAAUCUGAUCAUUCCAAUGUACAUCUUUUUGUCAUAUGCUUUAUGCAUUUGCACGGUAUGUUUUGUUGACCUCUAAAGCUGCAGAGGCAAAACUUACAUCAGUUGUGUACAAACUUAUAUUUAAUUUGC
Long non-coding RNA from Gallus gallus (chicken), 1429 nucleotides. The record is from Ensembl. Lineage: Eukaryota; Metazoa; Chordata; Aves; Galliformes; Phasianidae.